RNAcentral lists this ribosomal RNA (497 nucleotides) under uncultured bacterium. RNAcentral's name for it is "partial 16S ribosomal RNA". It matches the Rfam family "Bacterial small subunit ribosomal RNA", at positions 28 to 507 of the family's 1533-position model. The record is from RNAcentral.
GAUGAACGCUGGCGGCGUGCCUAAUACAUGCAAGUCGAGCGAACAGACGCUGAGCUUGCUCCUCUGACGUUAGCGGCUGACGUGUGUGUAACACGUGGAUAACCUACCUAUAUGACUUGGAUAACUUCGUGAACCCGUAGCUAAUACCGGAUAAUAUAUUUAACCUCAUUGUUCAAUAGUUAAAUACGUUUUUUCUGUCUCUUAUAGAUGUAUCCUCGCCGCAUUAGCUAGUUGUUAAGGUAACGGCUUACCAAGGCAACGAUGCGUAGCCGACCUGAGAGGGUGAUCGGCGAAACGGGAACGGAGAAACGGACAAGACUACUACGGGAGGCAGCAGAAGGGAAGAUUCGGCAAUGGGCGAAAGCAUGACGGAGCAACGCCGCGUGAGUGAUGAAGGUCUUAGGAUCGUAAAACGCUGUUAUGAGGGAAGAAAAAAUGUGUAAGAAAAUAGGAACGUAUUGACGGUAACUAAUCAGAAAGCAACGGCUAACUACGUG